CUGGAGGUAUCAGAAGUGCGAAUGCUGACAUAAGUAACGAUAAAGCGGGUGAAAAGCCCGCUCGCCGGAAGACCAAGGGUUCCUGUCCAACGUUAAUCGGGGCAGGGUGAGUCGACCCCUAAGGCGAGGCCGAAAGGCGUAGUCGAUGGGAAACAGGUUAAUAUUCCUGUACUUGGUGUUACUGCGAAGGGGGGACGGAGAAGGCUAUGUUGGCCGGGCGACGGUUGUCCCGGUUUAAGCGUGUAGGCUGGUUUUCCAGGCAAAUCCGGAAAAUCAAGGCUGAGGCGUGAUGACGAGGCACUACGGUGCUGAAGCAACAAAUGCCCUGCUUCCAGGAAAAGCCUCUAAGCAUCAGGUAACAUCAAAUCGUACCCCAAACCGACACAGGUGGUCAGGUAGAGAAUACCAAGGCGCUUGAGAGAACUCGGGUGAAGGAACUAGGCAAAAUGGUGCCGUAACUUCGGGAGAAGGCACGCUGAUAUGUAGGUGA
Molecule: ribosomal RNA, 490 nt
Filed under: Escherichia coli
Lineage: Bacteria; Pseudomonadati; Pseudomonadota; Gammaproteobacteria; Enterobacterales; Enterobacteriaceae
Description: partial 23S ribosomal RNA
Rfam family: Bacterial large subunit ribosomal RNA
Source: RNAcentral